ACGGGAGGCAGCAGUGGGGAAUAUUGCACAAUGGGCGCAAGCCUGAUGCAGCAACGCCGCGUGCGGGAUGACGGCCUUCGGGUUGUAAACCGCUUUUAGUAGGGAAGAAGCCUUCGGGUGACGGUACCUGCAGAAAAAGGACCGGCUAACUACGUGCCAGCAGCCGCGGUAAUACGUAGGGUCCGAGCGUUGUCCGGAAUUAUUGGGCGUAAAGAGCUCGUAGGCGGUUUGUCGCGUCUGCUGUGAAAUCCCGAGGCUCAACCUCGGGCCUGCAGUGGGUACGGGCAGACUUGAGUGGUGUAGGGGAGACUGGAAUUCCUGGUGUAGCGGUGGAAUGCGCAGAUAUCAGGAGGAACACCGAUGGCGAAGGCAGGUCUCUGGGCACUUACUGACGCUGAGGAGCGAAAGCGUGGGGAGCGAACAGGAUUAGAUACCCUGGUA
This 441-nucleotide ribosomal RNA is filed under the name uncultured Agromyces sp. RNAcentral describes it as "bacterial SSU rRNA". It matches the Rfam family "Bacterial small subunit ribosomal RNA", at positions 341 to 792 of the family's 1533-position model. The record is from RNAcentral. Lineage: Bacteria; Bacillati; Actinomycetota; Actinomycetes; Micrococcales; Microbacteriaceae.